GAUGAAGAACGUAGCGAAAUGCGAUAAGUAGUGUGAAUUGCAGAAUUCAGUGAAUCAUCGAAUCUUUGAACGCACAUUGCGCCCUUUGGUAUUCCAAAGGGCAAGCCUGUUCGAGCGUCAUUUGUACCCUCAAGCUUUGCUUGGUGUUGGGCGUCUUGUCUCUAGCUUUGCUGGAGACUCGCCUUAAAGUAAUUGGCAGCCGGCCUACUGGUUUCGGAGCGCAGCACAAGUCGCACUCUCUAUCAGCAAAGGUCUAGCAUCCACUAAGCCUUUUUUUCAACUUUUGACCUCGGAUCAGGUAGGGAUACCCGCUGAACUUAAGCAUAUCAAUAAGCGGAGGA
Molecule: unclassified non-coding RNA, 341 nt
Filed under: soil metagenome
Description: partial contains 5.8S ribosomal RNA, internal transcribed spacer 2, and large subunit ribosomal RNA
Rfam family: 5.8S ribosomal RNA (bases 1-120)
Source: RNAcentral